CAGCCGCCGCGGUAAUACGUAGGGUGCGAGCGUUAAUCGGAAUUACUGGGCGUAAAGCGUGCGCAGGCGGUUAUAUAAGACAGAUGUGAAAUCCCCGGGCUCAACCUGGGACCUGCAUUUGUGACUGUAUAGCUAGAGUACGGUAGAGGGGGAUGGAAUUCCGCGUGUAGCAGUGAAAUGCGUAGAUAUGCGGAGGAACACCGAAGGCGAAGGCAAUCCCCCGGACCUGUACUGACGCUCAUGCACGAAAGCGUGGGGAGCAAACAGGAUUAGAUACCCGCGUAGUCCCUGUCUCUUAUAC
RNAcentral lists this ribosomal RNA (301 nucleotides) under uncultured bacterium. RNAcentral describes it as "partial 16S ribosomal RNA". It matches the Rfam family "Bacterial small subunit ribosomal RNA", at positions 509 to 807 of the family's 1533-position model. The record is from RNAcentral.